Molecule: unclassified non-coding RNA, 329 nt
Filed under: soil metagenome
Description: partial contains 5.8S ribosomal RNA, internal transcribed spacer 2, and large subunit ribosomal RNA
Rfam family: 5.8S ribosomal RNA (bases 1-120)
Source: RNAcentral
GAUGAAGAACGCAGCGAAAUGCGAUAAGUAAUGUGAAUUGCAGAAUUCAGUGAAUCAUCGAAUCUUUGAACGCACAUUGCGCCCCUUGGUAUUCCGAGGGGCAUGCCUGUUCGAGCGUCAUUAUAACCCCUCAAGCUCAGCUUGGUGUUGGGGCCUGUUGCACUGGCAGCCCUUAAAAUCAGUGGCGGCGCCAUCUGGCUCUAAGCGUAGUAAUUCUUCUCGCUAUGGAGUCCUGGUGGAUGCUUGCCAUCAACCCCCAAUUUUUCUAUGGUUGACCUCGGAUCAGGUAGGGAUACCCGCUGAACUUAAGCAUAUCAAUAAGCGGAGGA